UGUGCUAAAGAACAUACAGACACAGAG
This 27-nucleotide non-coding RNA is filed under the name Homo sapiens (human). The record is from RNAcentral. Lineage: Eukaryota; Metazoa; Chordata; Mammalia; Primates; Hominidae.